UCCGGUUGCUAAUACCCCGUAGGCUGAGGAGCAAAAGGAGAAAUCCGCCCAAGGAGGGGCUCGCGUCUGAUUAGCUAGUUGGUGAGGUAAUAGCUUACCAAGGCGAUGAUCAGUAGCUGGUCCGAGAGGAUGAUCAGCCACACUGGGACUGAGACACGGCCCAGACUCCUACGGGAGGCAACAGUGGGGAAUUUUCCGCAAUGGGCGAAAGCCUGACGGAGCAAUGCCGCGUGGAGGUGGAAGGCCUACGGGUCGUCAACUUCUUUUCUCGGAG
This 274-nucleotide ribosomal RNA is filed under the name Triticum aestivum (bread wheat). RNAcentral's name for it is "partial small subunit ribosomal RNA". It matches the Rfam family "Bacterial small subunit ribosomal RNA", at positions 155 to 444 of the family's 1533-position model. Lineage: Eukaryota; Viridiplantae; Streptophyta; Magnoliopsida; Poales; Poaceae. The record is from RNAcentral.